Molecule: long non-coding RNA, 510 nt
Filed under: Equus asinus (donkey)
Lineage: Eukaryota; Metazoa; Chordata; Mammalia; Perissodactyla; Equidae
Description: lncRNA (ENSEASG00005037506.1)
Source: RNAcentral
AAUUAACAUAGCUUUAUAAUGACUUUUGUGAUCUGGGAGAUAAAUAUUGUUAGUUUUUUCUUCUUCAAAAUUAUCUCAGCAGUUCUUGGCCCUGCCUCUUCUUUAUGCAACGCCCUGAGGUCAAAUAAAGGAGUAGAGCUGCCUCUUUCAGUUCCUCCACGUUGUUGAAUUUCCAUUUUUUCCUCAGGCAACUUCAUGUACUGCUUGUGAUGCAUGACUCCCGACACACAGACCGAGUGAAGGAGCCAACAUCGAUUCAUGUGGCGCUGGGAGUAUAGCAGUGAGCAAGUCAUUGCCUGACCCUUACAAGAAGAUAAUCACAACAACAGAGUGACAGAAAUUUGUCUGUAUUGGAUCUUUCUGAAACAUUCAACUCUUUCUUUUCGCAACCACGGUUUAUCAGAUUAUGGCAUAUUUAAUUACAGUGCAUGUAAAAUAACAAGUGGAGUUAGAGGAGGAGCACACAGUCCUGAACAGUGGUUCUCAAUAGGAGCUCUCUGUCAAGCUUCC